AAGGAAUAUUGGUCAAUGGACGCAAGUCUGAACCAGCCAUGCCGCGUGAAGGAUGAAGGUCCUCUGGAUUGUAAACUUCUUUUAUCUGGGACGAAAACGGGAUUUUUAUCUCAAUUGACGGUACCAGAGGAAUAAGCACCGGCUAACUCCGUGCCAGCAGCCGCGGUAAUACGGAGGGUGCGAGCGUUAUCCGGAUUUACUGGGUUUAAAGGGUGCGUAGGUGGGCUUAUAAGUCAGUGGUGAAAUCUCCGAGCUUAACUUGGAAACUGCCGUUGAUACUAUAGGUCUUGAAUUAUCUGGAGGUAAGCGGAAUAUGUCAUGUAGCGGUGAAAUGCUUAGAUAUGACAUAGAACACCAAUUGCGAAGGCAGCUUACUACAUAUAAAUCGACGCUGAGGCACGAAAGCGUGGGGAUCAAACA
This 420-nucleotide ribosomal RNA is filed under the name uncultured bacterium. Its description in RNAcentral is "bacterial SSU rRNA". It matches the Rfam family "Bacterial small subunit ribosomal RNA", at positions 356 to 774 of the family's 1533-position model. The record is from RNAcentral.